UUUAAAGAGAGUUUGAUCCUGGCUCAGGACGAACGCUGGCGGCGUGCCUAAUACAUGCAAGUCGAACGAACGGAGGAAGAGCUUGCUCUUCCAAAGUUAGUGGCGGACGGGUGAGUAACACGUGGGCAACCUGCCUGUAAGUUGGGGAUAACUCCGGGAAACCGGGGCUAAUACCGAAUGAUAAAGUGUGGCGCAUGCCACGCUUUUGAAAGAUGGUUUCGGCUAUCGCUUACAGAUGGGCCCGCGGUGCAUUAGCUAGUUGGUAGGGUAAUGGCCUACCAAGGCAACGAUGCAUAGCCGACCUGAGAGGGUGAUCGGCCACACUGGGACUGAGACACGGCCCAGACUCCUACGGGAGGCAGCAGUAGGGAAUCUUCCGCAAUGGACGAAAGUCUGACGGAGCAACGCCGCGUGUAUGAAGAAGGUUUUCGGAUCGUAAAGUACUGUUGUUAGAGAAGAACAAGGAUAAGAGUAACUGCUUGUCCCUUGACGGUAUCUAACCAGAAAGCCACGGCUAACUACGUGCCAGCAGCCGCGGUAAUACGUAGGUGGCAAGCGUUGUCCGGAUUUAUUGGGCGUAAAGCGCGCGCAGGCGGUCUUUU
This 602-nucleotide ribosomal RNA is filed under the name Listeria monocytogenes. Its description in RNAcentral is "bacterial SSU rRNA". It matches the Rfam family "Bacterial small subunit ribosomal RNA", at positions 1 to 584 of the family's 1533-position model. The record is from RNAcentral. Lineage: Bacteria; Bacillati; Bacillota; Bacilli; Caryophanales; Listeriaceae.